This 206-nucleotide long non-coding RNA is filed under the name Vigna radiata. RNAcentral's name for it is "long non-coding RNA (VRAD_LNC011685)". The record is from RNAcentral. Lineage: Eukaryota; Viridiplantae; Streptophyta; Magnoliopsida; Fabales; Fabaceae.
UAUUUUAUUAGAUAAUAAAAAGCUAUCAUUAUUCAAUAAAAUUCUUAAAUUUAAUAUUCAACAUUUCAUAAAAAUGUUUUGAGUUAAGAAAAAAAAUAUCAUAUAAAACUUAAAAAUUAUUAGACAAAUAUAACAAAAUAAAAAAAUAAUUAAAAAUGUAUUAAAAAUAAACUAAUUUAAUUUUAAAACAGUAAUCUUACCCUAAC